AACGUACGCUGGCGGCACGCCUAACACAUGCAAGUCGAACGAAGUAGCAAUACUUAGUGGCAGACGGGUGAGUAACAUGUAGGUAUCUGCCCUUUGGCCUGGAAUAACACGAGGAAACUUGUGCUAAUACCGGAUAAGUCUUUACGGAGAAAGCUUUAUGCACCAUUGGAUGAGCCUGCAUUUGAUUAGUUUGUUGGUGGGGUAAUGGCCUACCAAGACUGUGAUCAAUAGCUGAUUUGAGAGGAUGAUCAGCCACAUUGGGACUGAGACACGGCCCAAACUCCUACGGGAGGCAGCAGUGGGGAAUCUUGCACAAUGGAGGAAACUCUGAUGCAGCGAUGCCGCGUGAGUGAAGAAGGCCCUUGGGUUGUAAAGCUCUUUCGUCGGGGAAGAAAAUGACUGUACCCGAAUAAGAAGGUCCGGCUAACUUCGUGCCAGCAGCCGCGGUAAUACGAAGGGACCUAGCGUAGUUCGGAAUUACUGGGCUUAAAGAGUUCGUAGGUGGUUGAAAAAGUUGGUGGUGAAAUCCCAGAGCUUAACUCUGGAACUGCCAUCAAAACUUUUCAGCUAGAGUAUGAUAGAGGAAAGCAGAAUUUCUAGUGUAGAGGUGAAAUUCGUAGAUAUUAGAAAGAAUACCAAUUGCGAAGGCAGCUUUCUGGAUCAUUACUGACACUGAGGAACGAAAGCAUGGGUAGCGAAGAGGAUUAGAUACCCUCGUAGUCCAUGCCGUAAACGAUGUGUGUUAGACGUUGGAAAUUUAUUUUCAGUGUCGCAGCGAAAGCGAUAAACACACCGCCUGGGGAGUACGACCGCCAGGUUA
RNAcentral lists this ribosomal RNA (820 nucleotides) under uncultured marine bacterium. Its description in RNAcentral is "bacterial SSU rRNA". It matches the Rfam family "Bacterial small subunit ribosomal RNA", at positions 28 to 896 of the family's 1533-position model. The record is from RNAcentral.